GAUGAACGCUAGCGGGAGGCCUAACACAUGCAAGCCGAGCGGUAUUGUUUCUUCGGAAAUGAGAGAGCGGCGUACGGGUGCGGAACACGUGUGCAACCUGCCUUUAUCUGGGGGAUAGCCUUUCGAAAGGAAGAUUAAUACUCCAUAACAUAUUGAUUGGCAUCAAUUAAUAUUGAAAGCUCCGGCGGAUAGAGAUGGGCACGCGCAAGAUUAGCUAGUUGGUGAGGUAACGGCUCACCAAGGCGAUGAUCUUUAGGGGGCCUGAGAGGGUGAUCCCCCACACUGGUACUGAGACACGGACCAGACUCCUACGGGAGGCAGCAGUGAGGAAUAUUGGUCAAUGGGUGCAAGCCUGAACCAGCCAUCCCGCGUGAAGGACGACUGCCCUAUGGGUUGUAAACUUCUUUUGUAUAGGGAUAAACCUACCCUCGUGAGGGUAGCUGAAGGUACUAUACGAAUAAGCACCGGCUAACUCCGUGCCAGCAGCCGCGGUAAUACGGAGGGUGCAAGCGUUAUCCGGAUUUAUUGGGUUUAAAGGGUCCGUAGGCGGACUUAUAAGUCAGUGGUGAAAGCCUGUCGCUUAACGAUAGAACUGCCAUUGAUACUGUAAGUCUUGAGUAUAUUUGAGGUAGCUGGAAUAAGUAGUGUAGCGGUGAAAUGCAUAGAUAUUACUUAGAACACCAAUUGCGAAGGCAGGUUACCAAGAUAUAACUGACGCUGAGGGACGAAAGCGUGGGGAGCGAACAGGAUUAGAUACCCUGGUAGUCCACGCCGUAAACGAUGCUAACUCGUUUUUGGGCUUUAGGGUUCAGAGACCAAGCGAAAGUGAUAAGUUAGCCACCUGGGGAGUACGCUCGCAAGAGUGAAACCCAAAGGAAUUGACGGGGGCCCGCACAAGCGGUGGAUUAUGUGGUUUAAUUCGAUGAUACGCGAGGAACCUUACCAAGACUUAAAUGGGAAUUGACAGCUUUAGAAAUAGAGCUUUCUUCGGACAAUUUUCAAGGUGCUGCAUGGUUGUCGUCAGCUCGUGCCGUGAGGUGUUAGGUUAAGUCCUGCAACGAGCGCAACCCCUGUCACUAGUUGCCAUCAUUCAGUUGGGGACUCUAGUGAGACUGCCUACGCAAGUAGAGAGGAAGGUGGGGAUGACGUCAAAUCAUCACGGCCCUUACGUCUUGGGCCACACACGUAAUACAAUGGCCGGUACAGAGGGCAGCUACACAGCGAUGUGAUGCAAAUCUCGAAAGCCGGUCUCAGUUCGGAUUGGAGUCUGCAACUCGACUCUAUGAAGCUGGAAUCGCUAGUAAUCGCGCAUCAGCCAUGGCGCGGUGAAUACGUUCCCGGGCCU
This 1345-nucleotide ribosomal RNA is filed under the name uncultured bacterium. RNAcentral describes it as "bacterial SSU rRNA". It matches the Rfam family "Bacterial small subunit ribosomal RNA", at positions 28 to 1381 of the family's 1533-position model. The record is from RNAcentral.